Molecule: ribosomal RNA, 2046 nt
Filed under: Triticum aestivum (bread wheat)
Lineage: Eukaryota; Viridiplantae; Streptophyta; Magnoliopsida; Poales; Poaceae
Description: partial small subunit ribosomal RNA
Source: RNAcentral
AUGUGUGGGGUCCGGCACAAACAUCUGUUAGUGGUCACAACUAUUAUGUCAGUUUUGUUGAUGCCUAUAGUCGUUUCACUUGGCUUUAUCUUCUUAAGCGCAAAUCUGAUGUGUUUGAUAUAUUCAUACAGUUUCAAUUGCAUGUUGAACGUCUACUCAAGCAUAAAAUUAUCCAUGUUCAAUCAGAUUGGGGGGGGGGGUGAAUAUCGCAACCUCAACACCUUCUUUAAUAAGCUUGGGAUCUCUCAUCGUUUAUCAUGCCCGCAUACACAUCAGCAGAAUGGCGCUGUUGAGCGCAAACAUCGCCAUAUAGUUGAGACCGGCCUCACACUUCUUGCUCAUGCUUCUGUACCCUUUCGUUUUUGGAGUGAUGCUUUUGCUACCGCGUGUUUUCUCAUUAACAGAUUACCUACGCGUGUUCUUAAUAUGAAAACUCUGAUUGAGCUUCUCUUAGGUGAAACUCCGGACUAUACCUUUUUUAAGGUGUUCGGGUGUGCCUGCUGGCCUCAUCUUCGUCCUUAUAAUGAUCGCAAACUUGAGUUUCGCUCCAAAAAGUGUGUGUUCUUAGGGUAUAGUUCUCUCCAUAAAGGCUACAAGUGUCUCCAUGUCCCAACCAAUCGAGUCUACAUAUCUCGGGAUGUUGUUUUUGAUGAGACCGUCUUCCCCUUUUCUGCCAUGUCUCGGUCAUCCACCACAACACCUUCUAUGCAUUCAUCUCCUCUUAUGCCUGGCCAAUUUGAAGAUGUUGCAUAUUCGCCUGUGUUGUUACCUAAUCAUGGUGCGGGAAUUGGACGUGGAGCUCGCCUGGAACUCCUCCCUGGCGGACCUGCUACGUCGCCUGUGGUGCACGUCGAUCGGCCGGUUUACAUGCGGCAGCCACCUGGAUUUGUUGAUCACACUCAGCCUCAUCAUCUCUGUCAUCUGACGAAGGCGAUAUAUGGACUGAAGCAGGCUCCCCGUGCCUGGCAUGCUCGCCUGGCUUUAGCUCUACGCACUCAUGGGUUCAUUCCUUCGACGGCUGAUACUUCACUGUUCUUGUUUCAGCGACUGAGUGUGACCAUGUACCUCCUUGUGUAUGUGGAUGAUAUUGUCCUGGUGAGCUCAUCUCCGACGGCUGCUGAUGCUCUUGUGACUGCACUUGGUCGUGAUUUUGCAGUUAAGGAUUUGGGGCAGCUUCAUUUCUUCCUGGGUAUUGAGGUUGCUCAUCAGUCUCGUGGCAGUUUGGCUCUCACCCAGAAGAAGUACUCUCUUGAUCUCUUGUGCCGUGCUGUUAUGCUCAAGUGCAAGCCAUCGCCUAUGCCCAUGUCCUCCACUGACACCCUUUCUGCUGCUGAUGGUGCUCUUCUCUCUCCUGAGGAUGCUACUGAGUACAGGAGUAUUGUUGGUGGCCUGCAGUAUCUGACGAUCACGCGUCCUGAUCUCUCCUUUGCGGUUAACAGGGUGUGCCGGUAUCUUCAUGCUCCCACUGAUGAACACUGGUCUGCUGUGAAGCGCAUACUGUGUUAUGUGCGUCUCACUGUCUCCUUUGGUCUUCACCUGCGCCCCAGUUCCUCCGGAGUUCUUUCUGCAUUCUCUGAUGCUGAUUGGGCUGGGUGUCCAGAUGACAGGCGAUCCAAGGGGGGACAUGCUGUGUUCUUGGGUCCUAAUCUGAUCGCCUGGAGUGCACGCAAGCAAGCCACUGUUUCCCGCAGCAGCACAGAAGCUGAGUACAAGUCGGUUGCCAAUGCAACUGCUGAACUUAUAUGGAUUGAGUCCCUACUUCGAGAGCUAGGAGUUGCUCAGCCACAUCCUUCGGUCAUUUGGUGUGACAACAUCGAUGCUACGUUUCUGUCGUCAAACCCGGUGUUUCAUGCACGGACUAAACACAUUGAGAUUGGCUAUCAUUUUGUGAGGAAACGUGUUGCACAGAAGCUACUAGAAGUCGGGUUUAUCUCUUCAAAAGAUCAACUUGCUGACAUCUUCACCAAGCCUCUACCUUCUCCCAUGUUUGAGGUCUGUAGGCGCAAUCUCAACCUCCUAGAUACUUCAGGGGUGAGUCGAGAUUGA